CAUUCUUCUAUGGUUAGGUCCUGGCCAAUGGAGCUACACCAAAAUUUGGAAAUUAUCCAUUUUAAAUAGCAUGCCUCUCGUGUAACUUCGACAAAACAUAUGGGCAUUUCCUAUGCCCAAGUAAGGGCAGUCCAGGUCUGCAAACAAAUUGAAAAAUACAGGUAGCCAUUUAGGAUUAUAUAUGUCUAAUAGUAGCUCUUAGAUGACAAAUGAAAGAAUCUAACAGAGAUGCAUACAAAUGACCUCUGUGAGAUCGGAGAAGGCAGACAUGUGGUGGGGGCUGGAGUGGUCCAGUGUAAGAAUGACCGCGUCGUCACAAGAGCAGGGAGCACACGGG
RNAcentral lists this long non-coding RNA (337 nucleotides) under Hordeum vulgare. RNAcentral's name for it is "long non-coding RNA (HVUL_LNC001005)". The record is from RNAcentral. Lineage: Eukaryota; Viridiplantae; Streptophyta; Magnoliopsida; Poales; Poaceae.